Long non-coding RNA from Bubalus bubalis (water buffalo), 1327 nucleotides. RefSeq lists it as uncharacterized. The record is from RefSeq and is a predicted model, not a curated record. The transcript has 4 exons. NCBI's taxonomy places the organism in Eukaryota, Metazoa, Chordata, Mammalia, Artiodactyla, Bovidae.
CGCAUCCGCCUGGCGCGCGUCCCCGCCUUCCGUCUGGUUGCGGCUCCUUACAAUGGCCGAAAUGAUUUUAAUAUUAAUACUUCUAGGCCAGGGGUGAUCGUUCCGAAGGCGGUAACUGAAGCCUCCCCGUCCCUCCAAGCACAGGAAGACCUAGCAACGUUUCAAAACGGAAAGGUUACACUGUGUUCCUGUGUCUGAAGCUCUUCCUGCUGCCACCAAAGCUACAAAAAAGCAUCUAAGGCACAGGAAGCUUCCAUUGCACAGCAGAUGAGCAACUGAAGCAUGGCUUGAAAGCAGGCAGUCUGAUCGCAGAACCCACUUUCUUCACACAAAGCUCUACUGCCUCCUAGCGGUAAUUAAACAUCCUUAGACCACGAGCUUCAGACUCGCUGGUGAUGCUGAUUAAAUGCAGUUUCUUGGGCCAUUCCAGGGUGAGAGGAGUAGAGAACGUCUGUGAUAAUCUGCAGGCGCAAAGCCUCCAGGGAGUCUGCUGACAGCAUUACAGGGAGAGCCGUAGGCUGGAAGUUCAAGGCGAGGCAGCAGAAUGAACAUUCAAAUGACUAAGGUAGUUUGAUAAAUACCAUGGUGUAGUCUAACCCCCAGUGCUUUCAAGGCUGACACCAUUAUUACUGAAGCUGCAACCAUUUUCAUUUCCAUAUUACUUCACUGAAUCACUUGAUGCUCUUCAAAAAUUUCCCUGAUCUUCCUGCUCUUUUCUUAAGAUUUCCUCUUUCUUUUAAGAUGUUAUUCUAAUCUGGGAGAGAUGCCCAUGAUUUAGAGAAUUUCUUUUCCUCUUUCACAUUGCAUACCCUCUACUGGGAUACGGAUGAACUUAUCAAUAGCAAGGAGAGAUAAGAAGGGCUUCUUAAGCCAAUACAAAGAAAUAGAGGGGAACAAUAGAAUGGGGGGAAAAAAGAGAUCUCUUCAAGAAAAUUGAAGAUUCCAAGGGAAUAUUUCAUGCAAGGAUAGCACCAUAAAGGAUGGAAACAGUAAGGACCUAAUAGACGAGGAAGAUUAAGAAUUAAUAGAUUAAGAAGAGGUGGCAAGAAUACACAGAACUAUACAAAAAAGGUUUUAAUGACCCGGAUAACCACAAUGGUGUGGUCAUUCAUCUAGAGUCCAGAUAUCCUCGAAUGUGAAGUCAAAUGGGCCUGUAGGAAGCAUUACCAUGAACAAAGCCGGUGGACAUUAUGGAAUUCUAGGUGAACUAUUUCAAAUCCUAACUGAUGAUGCUUUUAAACUGCUGCCCUCAAUAUGCCAGAAAAUUUGGAAAACUCAGCAGUGGCCACAGGACUGGAAAAGAUCAGUUUUCAUUCCAACUCCAAGG